GUCUACAGCCACACCACCCUGAACGUGCCCGAUCUCGUCUGAUCUCAGAAGCUAAGCAGGGUCGGGCCUGGUUAGUACUUGGAUGGGAAAAUGGCCAUACUUACAAAACUGCUAUAUAGAUU
Molecule: ribosomal RNA, 122 nt
Filed under: Heterocephalus glaber (naked mole-rat)
Lineage: Eukaryota; Metazoa; Chordata; Mammalia; Rodentia; Bathyergidae
Source: RNAcentral